CUUAAGGUAACAAUAGUCACUUUUAAAAAUUGGUUAUCUCAUCUAAUUUCUUGCUUUUAUUUGUGUAAUACAAUUUAUGUACUUCAAAGGCAUAGUUUUGGUUUAGAUGUGAAAUUGCCUUAAUCUGUUUGUUUCCAUUACAAAUGUUAUUGUCUUUAUAGUUUUGUUUCUUUUUUUGGGGUGUAAUAAAUUUGGAAAAAUUACAAGGAAUUGCUAGCAUAGGACUUCCUGACAGAGGAGGUUUGCGUCCAAUAGUUUGGAAGGCAAAGGGAACUACCAAUAAUUUUUCACUCUCAUGGUUUCUGUUCUUCUAUUGAUUGCGUUGAGAAGGGAGUUGAGAAGCAAUCCUGAGAGUGCUGCAGAGGCAGUCAUGCUGCACAGAUUGGAGUGCACCACAGCAGUCAGGACUAGGAUUGGUGUUAGUGGCACUAGGCACCACAAAAGGUGCGCACACAUUCAGGUAGGUGAGCUCAAUUGUGCAGCUUUGUGCCUUAACCGAUUGGGUUUACACUGCUGCUACAGCCAGCUACAGAAGUAGUGCUGCAGCUGCAUCACGUGAGCUGAGAGAUGCCAGUGACUUGACAAUUUCCGUGACUAAUUUUAUCUUUUCUAAAUCUUGGGCUAAUUCUCUUACUCAUUUUUAUGACUUAUUCAUUGGGAUUUCAGACACUUUAGAGUUGGAUUUGGAUGGUGAGAGUAUCUAUCGAUGAGUUACUUAUCUUAAGUUUUUAGCACACCACAAUUUUGUUGUGUUGAGAAUUAAUGUUGUUAAUUUUAUUUUGACACCAAUCGUAUUAGUCAUUACGCUCUAAUUUGUCUUUGAUGAUUAUUUGAUGUUUUUAACAGCUUAUAAACA
This is a non-coding RNA of Durio zibethinus, 856 nucleotides long. Lineage: Eukaryota; Viridiplantae; Streptophyta; Magnoliopsida; Malvales; Malvaceae. The record is from RefSeq and is a predicted model, not a curated record.